AAUAAAUGAUAUCAAAUCACAAUUCUUAUUUUCUGAUGUGGAAGAUUUAACUUAGUGGCAACCACAUAGCAUAUUUAUAAAGACUACUAUAAUAAAAGUAAAAUAAAAUUCUACCUUACUCAUUGAUAGCUCUAAAAUUAGCAAGUCGUUCUGAUCACAUGUAAUGUAAAUAGGGUAAUAAUAUAUCACAUGUAAUAUAAAUAGGGUAAUAAUAAUUAAUAAGAAAGUAAAUUUAAGAGGAAAAGAUAAUGACUCUAAAUUCUUUCUUCAUAUUGAGUAAAGAGAUAAUGGGAAUGUAAUACCUUUCACCUAGGGUUGGCAAUGGGACUGGAUGGGAUGGGAUUUAUCAAUCCCAAUCCCAUCCCGUAUAUGUAAAUGGGAUAAAAAAAUGUCUCAGUCUCGUUCCUAUAUUUUUUUUGGGACAAAAAUAUGUCCCAAUCCCGUCCCAAAAGAGAUGGGAUCCUGCGGGAUCCCAUCCCAAUUGGAAAAAUUUUCAUUCUUAAUCGGUAAUGAGACGGGAUGGGACGGAAUUUGUCAAUCCCACUCCCGUCCCACAUAUGUAAUUGGGAUAAAAAAAAUGUCCCACUCCCAUCCCUAAAUUUUGUUAUGGGACAAAAAUAUGUCCCAAUCCCGUCCCAAAUGGGGUGGGAUCCCGCAGGAUCCCAUUCCAUUGGGAAAAAUUGCUAUCCCUACUUUCACCUACAAUCACAUGGCUAUUUAUAGUGAAAGUUUCCAUGUGCUUUAAUUUGUAAAAUGAAUGAACCAUAUGCUUAUUAAAUUUAAGCCAUAAACGAACUAUAUUAAAGUGAUAGUAAAUCCACUGAUGCACAACAAGCCUCAAUUUCAAUAACUUUAAUAGAAACAAAAAUAUAAGACUUGAAUAUAAGGUUUUAAUAAGGAUUUUCUUCAAAUUCUCAUUCAUUCACACAUUAACUGAAAUUUUUUUAUUCUAUCAUUAUAUAAGAAAAAAAUUAUACAAUAUACACAAAUCAGAACAAAACAAACUGAUGAUGAUGAAUAAUGAUAAUUUUUACUAUAUAAAUGAGCAAAAAAAAUUAUUAAUUAAACUAUUGCAUGAUAUUACUAACAUAAAUAACCCAUUGUAAUGAUAAUUAUGAAUAAAAGAUUAAGAAUUAAGAAUACUUUUUGGAACUUAAUUGCAAGAGGAUCUGUUUUUGUUUCUUCAAUCUAGGAGACUUAUAAAUGUGAAACCAGUUGGAUUCAUGUCAGCUUUAGGAAUUGGAAAAGAAGUUAAUGAGACAAAUUAUAUUUCAGGUUAAAAUAAGGAUUCUAGAGAGUAAAAAAUUUAAUUUAAUUAAAUGCAAAGCCGGCAACUCUUUUAAUUAUACAAAGAAAGUAAUUUUGGACUUUUAUAAUAGGAGAGAGUUUAAUUUAGACCUUUAUGAAAGAAAUUAUCAGGGGCUUAAAUAAAUAUAAUUAACAUUAAAAUUAAUUACAUACGUUAAAUAUGUAAUUGAAUCUAGGAGGAAAUUUUAGUUCAGCGGCUGUGGUCACUACUUGGUCUGUCACUGCAUGUAAAAGAGGAAUUAUAGUUGGCGAUCGAGGAAUAUAUGGAAAUCAUAAUGAGUAAGUAGCUAGAGUUAAUUAUUAAAGUUCUCUGCCAUUCACCCAGGGUGACUCUUGGAGAACUGAAUAUCUUUUUCUCGUACUAUAUACCUGUCGAGAAAAUUCAACUCCAAGGUUAGUGUUGUUCCACUUUAUUUGCAGCCUGAUCAUAAGAUGUUUUAUCUAUUUCCUAUCAUGAUCAUCUUUUAAUUUUCUUCUCGAGUCUUUUUAUGAUGAUUAUAUCUUUCGUUGAAUAGUAGGAGUAAAGUCCUUUACAGACAGCAUUAUUUAAUAACAUUCUAGUAUAUACGAGCUAGUAUUAGCUUUCUUAAUUUUGUCUAUUGUCCAACAAGGAAAGAACUUUGUUAAUAAAAUUUAUCAGGUUUUGUUUGAGGGAGCCUGAACCUCCAAAACCAUAAAUAGUUUUUACUUUCAAAUCGGAGUAAAUCUCUGUGAAUUAUAAUUCUAUAGCUUAAACAAUGAGGAAUACAACUGUCUUUCCAAAAUUCUAGGCACGUGCCAAUAAAAAAACAAAUAAAAUAACUAAACUAGAACAAAGCAUAGAACAUGUAAGAACUCUUCCUCCCUUAAUUUAUAGCCUUGUCGUCAAGGCUAAGAUCAGGGAAUUGAUUUUUGAUGAAGUCACGUUCCUCCCAUGUUGCCUCUGCAGGUGACAAGCCCUGCCAAUGAAUUAAUAUUUGGUGCUUCUUCUUUCGAACUCUGCGGUCGAGAACAACUUAUGGGUUUAGGAUCAUCCUUUCUUUGGUGAUGUCAAGAGUGGGCAAUUGAGGCCAUACCACCUCUUUGCCAAUACUCUUCUUAAGAAGUGAAACGCGGGAUAUAACAUGUAUUCUCUACAGAAUCUUAAAAGGCCCAAAGUAGCUGGUCGAAAGCUUCAUAUUUCUUCUUAAAGCCAAAAUAGUUAUUGAUGAGGCUGUAGCUUUAAGUACACCAUUUCACCAACUGAAAACUCUUUUUAUCGAAGCUUAGAAUCGUAAAUCUGUUUCAUUUUUUAUUGAGCUUCACUGAUCUUGCUCUUGGCUUCCUUCACAAUUCUAUCUGUAUCUUUAAGUUCUUCCUCUAUAGCUGCAACCUUAGUUAUUCUAGGAACAUAAGACAAAGAGUGUAGGAAGAGGUCGUCCAUAAACUACUUCAAAAGGCGAUCUUUUGAUCAUUGAGUACUAGCUUGUGUUUUAAUGAUAUUCAGCUCAAGUAAGCCACUUUGUCCAUUCUUUAGGUUGAUAACUUGUGAAACACCCGAGAUAUAUAUUUAGAGUUCGAUUCACCACUUCAUUUUUCCAUCAUUUUGAGGGUGAUAUUUGGAACUAAAGUUGAAUGUUGUGCCAUUGAGUCAAAAUAAUUCUUGCCAAAACAUACUUGUAAAUUAGGAUCUCUGUCUCACACAAUUGAAUAAGGCAUUUCAUGCAACUUGAAGACAUGAUCAAAGAAAAUUCUUGCCACUCUAAUGGUAAAGUAAGUAUGUGUGAUGGCAACGAAAUGUGUAUAUUUGGAUAACAUGUCCAAAAUGACAAAAAUAGUUGAUUUACCACUAGAAAGUGGCAAGUGGUGGAUGAAGUCCAUAGAUAUAUCCUCCCAUCUUUGUUCCAGUAUGGGAAGUGGUUGUAGAAGCCAGCUAUUGCAAGUUACUCCACCUUAUGUCAUUGGCAAACAUCACAAUUUUUAAUGAAUUUUUUUAUUCCUUGCCUCAUGUCUGUCAAAAAAAAAGUUAAAUCAAAUCCGCUGUAAAGUUUUAAUGAAUCAUUCAUCUGUGCCACCAUGAGAUUGUUCCAUUAUAGUAUGAAUAAAAGGGGAAUGUAUUGCAAGGUAAAUCUUACCUUUGAAGAAUAACAUGUCAUGUUGUAGCUUCCAAAGACCCAUCUUCUCACCGUCUUUGACUAACUUCACUAGAUUUUGCUACAUGGUGUUCAAUUGCACUUCUACUAUUAUUGCUUUAAUCCAAUUAGGCAAUGGUUGAGAUAUUGCAUAAAUUUCACCAGCUUUAUUCUAUUUAUGCUUCUUUGAUAAAGCAACGGCUAUAGUAUUUUUUUUCUUCCACUCUUGCACUCCAUUGCAAAAUUAAACCCCAUUAACUUUUAAAGCCACUUAUAUUGAGCAAGAGUUGUGAUUUCUUUUAGUCCAUAAAUGCUUCAAGCUUUGAUGAUCAGUUUGCACCACAAAUUGUCUUCCCAAGAGGUAAGGACACCAUUUUUGGAUAGCUAAAAUCUAGAGCCAAAAUCUCCUUUUUAUAUAUAGAAAGCAAGCGGUGCUUCCCUUGAAGGGCAUGACUGUAGAAAGCAAUAGGCCUAUCUUGCAUAAACAUAGCACUAAUUCUUGCUCCUGAAAUGUCACAAUUUAUGGUGAAUAAUCUUGAGAAAUCUGAUAAGAGUAGUAUAGAGGCAUAUAUCAUCACCUCUUUCAUUUUUGCAAAUGUUGCCAAAUCCAGAUCACGCUACUAAAAAGAGUCUUUCUUCAACAUGGUAAGAAGGACAAUUGUUUUACUUAUUUUUGGAUGAAUUUGUGGUAAUACCCUGUUAAUCCCAAGAAUCUGUGAAGAGGUUUUAGAGCUUGAGGUUGGGGCCAGUUGAGCAUUGCUUUAAUUUUCUCAAGGUCAAUGGUAACACUUGUAUUUGUGAUCAGGUAGCCUACGUACUUAACUUCCUUUUGGCCAAAUGCACACUUCUCCAAUUUACACAUAUAGGUUAUGAAGUUGUAAAAUGAAAAACACAGUUUCUAAAUAUUUCAUAUGUUCAAACCAUGAUUUAUUAAAAGUUAAGAUGUCAUCGAAGAAAACUAAGACAAAUUUUCCUAAUAAUGGUCUGAAUACCUCAUUCAUGAGAGUCUGGAAGGUAGAAGGAGCAUUGUUGAGGCCGAAUGGUAUCAUUGAAAAUUUAUUGUUUACCAUGAUAGGACCUAAAAGAAGUAUUCUCUGCAUCCUUUAAUCUUAUACGGAUCUGAUAGCACCCAGAAUGUAGAUCCAACUUUGAGAAUACUUAUGCACCUUGCAACUCAUUUAGUAGUUCAUAAAUUACUAAAAUCAAAAACUUGUCUUUCACAAGUAUUUGAUUUAAGGAUUUAUAGUCAACACACAUUCUCCAUGAACCAUCUUUGACAGUGAUUUGAUUUAAGGUUCUAUAGUCAACACGCAUUCUCUAUGAACCAUUAUUCUUCUUCAUUGAGAUGACUGAAGCUGAGUAAGAGUUAUUAUUACAGUGAAUAAUUCUAGAAAUUAUCAUUUCAACCACCAUCUUCUUUAUCUCUACAUCUGUAAGUGAAGAUAAUGAACUGAGAUAGGUCUUCUUUUUUUUUAAAUUGUACUGGAAUCUAGUGAUUACACGAUCAGGAUAGAGAUAGUCUCUUAGUUUCUUUCAGCACAUCUUUAUAUUUUUAUAGGAACUAUUGUAUCUGCGUGUGAAUGGUUGGUUGAAUAGGAGGAAUUAUUUCUAGAAAAAUUACCUUCUUUUUGGCUGUAUGUUUAAAUUCAUGGCUAUUUAUGACCUGAUUUUCUGCACUUGUUAAGCCUCGCAAGAUAAUCUUCUUUCUAACUUUAUAAACAAAUUAGAAAAAUCCCACUCAAUAGGUCUAACAAACUUAAACACUUAGUACAUAGGAUAACAUCAUAGCCCUCAAUUGAUAGUAAAUAUAAAUCUACUGGAAUUGGAUAAACUUGUAAUUUGAGUUGAGUUUAGGUGCACUUACCUAGGACUACCAAACUUACACCAGAUGCUAUCAUGACAUCUACAAAUCCAUAGGAGUUGGGUUGAAAUCCUGCUCUCGUAGCCAUCUACUUAGUUACAAACUUAUGCAAACUGUCAAAAUCAAUAAGCACUAUCAUAACUUUAUAUGUAAGAGUACCAAAAACUCGCAUUGUACCAGGUGUUCACAAUCCAACUAUCCUGUGAAAGGAGACUUCUAGCUGCUUAAGUUAUUGUUCCUCUAUAAUUCCUUCUUCCUCUAUUAACCACAUCAUCAUUGUUCUCUGCCAACAUAGCUUGUAUAAAAAAUAACUCCUUACAAAUAUGCCUUGGGACAAAUUUCUCAUUACAUUUGAAACACAAGCCCUUGCGCGGGUUUUAUUUAACUCUUUCAUGGUCAUUCUUUUGAUAAGAGUUCUAGAUUAUUGAUGCGUGGUGUUAGUGUAGUAAGAAGGACAAGUUGUAUAUUCUUGUGGUGGGUAAAAUCUUUGGCUUCAAAUAACCUUGCUAGUCUAGAGCAGAGGACAGAUUAUUUGGCUUGUUGGCUCUAACAUCAGUUCGAAUAGGUUCCCGAAGACCUCCAACAAAAUAGUUGACUAGUCUAGCUUGAUCCAUCAGUCCUGUCUUAGCCAAAAGUUUCUCAAACAUUUCUUGGUAAUCUUGUAUUUAACCUGUUUGCUGCGAUCGAGUUAGUUCGAUAAAGAAAUCCAUGCAUUGAUUAGUUCCAUACAACGAAUUUAGUGCUUUCUUAAAAUAUUCCCAAGAGACAAUUGACAUCUCUUGUCAUAGGAAUUGGUAUCACAGAUGAGCUUCUCCUUCCAAAUGAAAAGAUGUCAAAAGAACACGUUGCAUAGCCAUAUGGUUGGGUCUCAUUUUCCUUCAUAAUGAAGGAAAUCAAUUUUUACAGUUUUUGGCAAAUAUAACCGUAGAGACUGACUUUGAUGAUUUCAUUGAUACUCUAUCAAACACUUGGUGUGCCUUUUAGGGCAGUAGAUUCUUUUCCCUUAUUUUGAUUUUGCAUUUGAGCAUUGGAGUUCCCUAUUGACUCAUUUGCUGGUUAAAACUCUACGCUACUCUUACACUGAGCUUGUAUUAAUUGUCGUAAGAGAUCUCCUUGGCCAGUAAUAUUUUCCAUGGCCUUCUCCAGUUAUUCUACUGGUUGAUCCGUAGGCGAGCUCUGACACCAAUUUGGUAUAUACCAGAUAGUAUUAGCUUUCUUAGUUCUUAUUCUAUAAUAGGGAAAGAAAGUACCUAAUAAAAUUUAUCAAGUUCGUUUUGGGGAGCCCGAACCUCCAAAACUAUAAGUAGUUUUUACUUUCAAAUCAGAAUAAAUUUUUGAAGUAUUAUUCCAUAAUUUAAAUAAUAAAGAAUUCAACUUCUUUCCAAAACUCUAGGAACGUACCAACAAAUUAGCUAACUAAAUAGCAUGGACUCUAACUUAUUUAAAGCUAGCAAGACUUAUUCAAAGAAUAAAAAAUAAAAUAAAAUAAAUAAACUAGAACAAGAUAUAGGGCAUGCAACACAUUCAAGCAACCAUAUGCAUGUGAAACUAUCCUCUAAGAUGUUAAAUCAUGGAGUGGUAUCGUAUAUUGUUAUGUUUUCUUGGUGUUGUGUCAAAUUUAAGUAAAUAUGAAUACGACUCAUUUAUUAAUCGUGUUAAAAUAUCAAAAUAUGGAUACAUACCUUUUAUAAAUCAUACUAGUACCUAAUAUAUUUAAUGAAAGAAUAUCAAAUAUUUUAAAGAAUAACAAAUAUUUCAAUAUUAUUCUUAAAAAUAAGUCAACAUGAUAAAAAUAUGAUAUGAAUAAAUUUGUAACGUAAUAUGGAUACUACACGAAUAAUUAAUUUAGUGUUCAAUACAUUUAUUAGUUAAAUUUUCACUAAUAUUACCAUUUAUUAAUUUAUAUUAGUGUCAUAAACUUGAAAUCUUGUUGAAGUGUUCCAACAAAGAUGCGACAUUAGUCAGCAUAAAUAUAAAAAAGUUCGUCUCGUAUCCUUGUUGUGUAAUCUUAUCAUAAUCUAGUUUGCCACCAGUAUGCCCUUCUCCUUAAUGUAAGAAAGGAUUUCGAUUUAUAUAUAUACUCAACAGAAAUUAAAAUUUUGAUUAAUUAAUCAAUUCCUAUUCUAUUUGUGCCAAGUUUACCGAAUUCUUGUUAAAUAAUAGAUCAUUAAUAUAGUACUUGUUUAACUAGAAGGUAAUUAUCAUCAUCAUCAUCAUCAUUUGAGAAUAGGAGGUAAUUAAUUAAGACAACAAAAAUAGAGUAUAUAUUAGAAAAAUACCGUAGGGUCUUGUUAUGUUACAAAAUACUGUUAGUAACAAACCAUGAUUUGACAAGAUAAUUGUCAAAAACGGGCGGAAGUGGUAAAAAUUAUCAUCCUUAGCUUUUGACACCCUUAAAAAGUUCUUUAUAUGGGUGAAAAACUGUUUAAACUCCCAUAUUGGAGAUGUGUUACUGAUCUUUGUACAUGAUGGUGUUGGAAAGAUGGUAAUUGUCAGGAAAACCAAGGGUGGUGGGUAAGUAUUAAUUUGUCUAAUUCGAGAAAUUUGACCAAGUCAAAAGAGAUUAAUUAUGAUAAUUUUAUGUUGCAUAGACAUAGCAGAACUAUGUUGGUGGUGUUUAUACUAUCGUAAUAUUCAUUUAGUAAAUGGUAAUAGUUUAUACUUAGAAGGGAAAAUGAGAAUAUUUAUGACUUCAUUGCUGUUUACAUAGCAAAAGUAAAAAAUGAUAAAGUAAUUUUUGUAUUAUGUUACUAAAGAGUGGUAGUGAUUAUUUUUUAGUUAAACAUUUGUUUGAGAAAAUGUCAUGGUGGGGCAUUUGUUAAGCUGGAUAAUUUUAGAGAAUGGGCAACUAUUGUUCUAAGUAGAAUCGAGAAAUUUGAAAUAUCCCAAUUAAUUAGUUUGAUUGAUACGAAGAGGCUUGAAAAUUAAUUUGUGUUGUUAUGAGAAAUGUAUUGUUGAAUUUAGCAUGAAAUCAAUGUUACGGUUCAAUAACAUUGAUAGGCUGCCUUUUGAGAGGAAAAAACGAAAUAAAACAUUGAUAGGCUACUACUAACAAAAAAGAAAUUUUUAGAAAGUAAAAGAAUGGAUCCAAGUAAGAGCAGAGAGAAGAACAGUAUGAGAAGGGAGAGGAGAAGCGGGAGUUUAAAGGCAAUAAUUGUUAUUCUAGUGAACUAAUAAAAGAUUCCUUAUAUAGAUUUGUAACUAAUCCUAUUCCUAAACAACUUACACAGAAAAUAGAAGACUAAUUAACGAACUAAUUAAUAGAAACAUAUAAUUAUUCCUUAACAAAACAAGAAGUAGGAAAUAAUAUAAAAGUUAGGACUUAGGAGCCCAAAAGCAUAACAAAUUUCCACAGAUUUUAUAGAAUUCUCAUCUUGAAUGUGUUCCUCAAUGAUUGGCUCGAUGAGAUGAAUCUUCUCAUUCUCAUUAUCAUCAUCUUCUUAGUGGUGAGGUUGUUUACACAUAUUGAACACAUUGAGUUCCAAUAUCAUGUUGCCGAAAGAUAAUUUCAUUAAUCCAUUCGUACAAUUAAUCAAAGAAUUAGCAGUAGCUAAAAAUGAUCGACCCAAUAUAAAAGGAAUUUUUUUGCAUUCAUUAACAAUUGGUUCCGUUUCCAAAAUAAUAAAAUCCACAGGGUAUAUGAAUUUAUCGACUUGGACUAAUACAUCUUCAAUUAUUUCUUUUGGAACCUUAAUCAAUCUAUCAACAAGUAAAAGAGUGGUAGAAGUUGGUUUUAACUCAUCAAGAUUGAGUUGAUGGUAUACUGAGUAAGGAAGCAAAUUAACACUAGCACCAAAAUCAAGUAAAGCAUGUCCAAUUUUAUGAUCCCCAAUAAUACAAGAAAUAGUUGGACAAUCAAGAUCCUUGUAUUUCAAAGCACUAUUGGUUGAGAGAAUGAAACUUACCUGCUCUGCUAAAAAAGCUUUCUUUUGGACUUUACAUUUCCUUUUUACCGUGCACAGAUCUUUCAGAAAUUUAGCAUAAGAAGGUAUUUGUUUAAUGGCAUCCAGCAAAGGAAUGUUGACCUUUACUUGUUUAAAAACUUCAUAAAUUUCUGGAUUGUGGUUUGAUUUCUUUCGUUUGAUUAGUGCUUGAGGAAAUGGGGGUAAAGGAGGAGAGUUGGUCAUUUCUUCAUGGUUAAAAGGUUCGAAAACUCUUCUCUAUUCUCUAAAAUUGAAUCUUUACUAGUUUCACGAGGGUCUUGGAUAUGUUUUUCGACAACUUUACCACUACAAAAGGUUAUAACUAAUUUGACUUGACUUAUGUUUUGGUUUCCUGAAUUUCCCAUUUGAGGAUGCUGUUGACUCUUGGGGUUUGGUUCAGGUUGAGCAGGAAACUUUCCUUUUUCAUGUACGGUCAGAGCAUAUGUGAGUUUGGAGAUAGUUUCUGUCAAAUUGGUUAAGGUUUGCAUCGUUUGGUUAUUGAUCGACUCUUAUUUUUCAAUAAACAAAUGCAAUGUGUCUUCCAGAGUUUUUGUUAGUGGUGGGACAUAUGGUGGGUAACUCUGGGGGUUUUGAAAAUUUUGACGUGGAGGAACUGAUUGUGAAGGUUGUGCAUGGUUGUCAUUUCUCCAACUGAAAUUUGGGUGGUUUCUCCAACCAGAGUUGUAAGUUUGGGAGUAUGGAUUGGGAUUUGGCCUUUUGAAAUUGUCAACGACAUUUACUUGUUUGUGCAAACUUUCUCUCAGAGCUGGUAAGGUUGGAUAGUCUGCGUAAAAUGAUCAGUAGAAUCACAAACAUAAUAUGAAAUAUUUUGAACAGACUUUAAAUUAUCAUUCUUUUUCGACUCUAAUACUUUGAAUUUUCUAGCUAAGGAUGCAAAUUUGGCUUGAAAAUCAUGGUCUUCCCUAAGGUUAUGUAUGCCUCCACCAGAUGGAGACGAUUGGGGUUUACUUGAUAACUCAUAAGACCCAAUUGUAUCACACUGUUGUGCAUUCCCUACUAUAUAGUCAAGAUAAUCUAAUGUAUCUUCAGGACUUUGGUCCUUAAACUCAUCAUUACACAUCAUUUCAACGAUUUGUCUACCUUGGGAUGUUAAUUCCUUGUAGAAAUAAGACAUUAAUCUCCAUGUUUCAAAACCGUGAUGUGUGGGCAAAUGUUAAGUAGUUCUUUAAACCUAUACCAACAUUGGUAAAGGGUUUCUCCUGGUUUUUGAGUGAAGGUGGUGCUUUGUUUUUUGAAAGAAUUUGUUUUGUGGGGUGGGAAGUAUUUUUUCAAAGAUUGUGUUUGCAUUUCAUCCCAAGUUCUGAUAGAUUCUGACCUAAGAUUUUGUAGCCAAGUUUUAGCUUUAUCCUUUAGUGAGAAAGGAAAAAACUUAAGCCUGAUUAUAUUCAUACUACAAUUUUGAUCAGUACAUGUGUUACAGACUUCCUCAAAUUCCCUUAAAUGAAAAUAUGAAUUUUUAGACUUAAAACCAUAAAACGUAGGAAGAAGUUGAAUGAUAUCAUGUUUGAAAUUAAAACAUGAUGCAUCAGGAGGAAAAAUUAUGCAUGAUGAUGACCUUGUUCUAGUAGGAUACAUAAAGUCUCUAAGGGUUCUAGGUUGUUCAUGAAGAUUUUGCAAGGUUUGGUUAUCUUCGUACUCUGAAAAUUUUCCAGUUCCUAUGUCCGCCAUAUCUAAGGGUGGUGAAGGUGAUCUCCUAAUUAAUCUGUCACUAUUUGUACGAGACCAACGACGCAUGCAAUUCUAAUUAUGUGUGCUAAAUCAAUGAUGCAUAAAAUGCUAAAUGAAAAUUACAUAAAUAAAAGUAAACUGGAAAUUAAAUAAGCAAAAAUGCGAAAUAAAAAUAAACAAACUAAAAAUAAAUAAAAAAUAAAUUAGGUGAUGAAACCAGCCAUAAAAACAAAGUAAUUAAAGGAAACAAUUAACAAAAUAUUAGGCGGUAUUUUAGAACCAGCCAUAUAACCAAACAUAAAAGUAAAUAAAUUAAUGUACAAGAAUAAAAAAACUGAAAUUAAAAUGUUAGGUGGUAGAACCGACCAUAUAAACAAAAAUAAAUAAAUUAAUUAAAUUUAAAUAAUAAUCAGGCGGUUGAACUGACCAUUUAAAAUAAAUGCGAAAGUAAAUUUCAAAAAUUUAAAGAAAAAAAUUUGGUUUGAGGACUGAUUUGUAAAAGUUUCUAGGCUUAAAUGAAGUUUCUCAUAAAUUUUAUGAUAAUUCUAUGAUUAUGAGAGAGAGAAGGGAGCUUACUGAAAUUUUACGAAAUGAAUUAUUAGAACCAAACAAAGAAAUGACGUAAGGGAAAAUAAAAAACGUAAACAAUAAUUGACAAAAUAUAAAAAAUAAAAUGACACUAAAUUUAAGAAUUUCUCUAGCAACAACGCCAAAAGCUUGACACGACUCAAAAACAUAUUACUCUCAAGCAUAAGAGUGCCUAGUUAUAAUAUAAUCCGGUGAGUUCGGGGUUGAACUAUAGGAAAUUUAAAAUCUAGUAGUUAAUUUAAAACAAAGAAAAUUAAUUGCGCGAAAAAGAAAUUAUUUAGAAUCAAUUUAAAAUAUAAUAAGGUUACGAGAUCCACUCUCAGUAUUCAACUAUAAUUUUAUUACUAUCUUAUUUUUAUAUUUGACCUCACUUUUACCAGUUAAUUAUUAUAUCAUUUAAUUCUCAACUAACUAUUUUAUUUUUAUGUUAUAUAUAUGUUAAUUGAAAUGUGUGAUGGUCAGAAGGCGUGAUGGCCUCCUGACCAUCACCAACAUGAUUGCCAAUCUCUUUUUUUCUUCUUUUUUAUAUUAUUUUUUUAAUUUUUAAUAGCAUCUCCUUGAUUGACGAAUUUCAAAUUGCUCCAGCUUUCUUUUUUUGUUCCCGUUUUCAAUUCAAAUUUCAUCUUUAUUCCUGAAAAAUAUUUACAAGAUGAAAAUUAACAUAUUGCGAAUUAAUUUAACAUAAAAAUAUAUUUGGGGAGUAGUAAAUAAUUUAGAAAUAAUGAGCACGUUAAUCAACACAAUAAGUGAAAAACUAAUAAUUUUAUCCUUAUUAAAUCUACAUUUUUUAGUGUCAAUCACAACUCCAACUAGCUUAUUGCUAGGCCCUAGCAAUUUAAGCAAUUAAAAGUUAGCAAAAUUUCAAAACCAAAUUGAAAUCUUUUUUUUUAAAUUGUGGUUACUUCUUUCAUCAGAUUAAUGACAACAAUCAAAUAAAAGUAUAAGCAUUAUCUUCAGCCUAAAGAAAAUCACACAUGCACAAAACAGUUAAGUAAAAUCAUGUAAAAUUAUCAAUUAUCAUAGCUACAUUAAUCAAGCCAUUUUUAAGAAUGAUACAUCAAACCGCAAAACCUUACGAUUAAGAGUGACUUUCUCAAAAGAAAAUAUACCCCACAAAAACUAUCACUCUUAGAAUAAAAUGAUCAAGUAUAAAAAUAAUGUCACACGCUCUCACCAAGAUGAAGAAAUAAUGCCCACAGCUUAGAAUAAAAUUAUCUCAAGUCCAAGAAAUUACUAGCAAAAUUUAUUUAUAUUUUAAAGCAUCACCACAUCUUUUGGUUCAUAUUACCAACUUUUACUUUAGACUAUAGUUCUCUAAAAUUAAGAAGCACUUUAAUUAGAACGUAACGUAUGCUAUGGUUAUGGUGAACAAAAAAAGGUAAUAGGAAAAAAAAUAUAUGUUUGAAAAAUAGGAGACUUUUUUUAAUAUUACAAAGUACUUGAAUUUUUUUUCAUUUUAUUUAUUUAUUUAUAUAUACAUAUCCUCUCUUUUUCUCAUAGCACCAUUAUUAAGAAUACAUAAUCAUCCCUAUGGAUACUUUAUAUAGGCUCAAAGGAUUAAUUAUGGAUACUUUAUAAUAGGGUUGGCUAGAAAGGCUCAAACAGAUCAAAGAUUGUCUUCUGUCAUCUUUUAGAACUCUAACUAAUCUUUCAUAUCCACUAGUUCAAUGGACUUUUAUUUAUUUAUUUAUAUAUACAUAUCCUCUCUUUUUCUCAUAGCACCAUUAUUAAGAAUACAUAAUCAUCCCUAUGGAUACUUUAUAUAGGCUCAAAGGAUUAACUAUGGAUACUUUAUAAUAGGAUUGGCUAGAAAGGCUCAAACAGAUCAAAGAUUGUCUUCUGUCAUCUUUUAGAACUCUAACUAAUCUUUCAUAUCCACUAGUUCAAUGGACUUUCAGAUACGGUUGCACAAACUCCUUUUUUUUUUAAAGAAAAUAUAGAGAUCUUGUACAAUAAAUUGUGAAGCUGUAUAUGCAAACAAGGUUACUCUCUAAGGAUAAUAGGCUCAAAAACUCACUUGAACUUUUUAUAACAUGUACAUUCCUCCAAAUGGCUUAAUCAAUUUCACGCAUCAAAUUUCUCAAUUUACGUUUCAACAUGCAAAGGGGAAAACAUAGUGUAACAUAACUCAAGGUAAAAAAUAAUACAAAUACCAAAAUUUGAAAAUCAUCAUGUUAUCUAAUGUUAAAAUAUCACACCAAAAAAUAAAACUCUUUUUUUUUAAAGUUAAAGAGCACACUAAAAAAUGGGACUGAUUGCAGAAACUUAAAGGAGAUGAUUAAGAGAAAAAGAUUAAAAAAAGAAAAAAAGAAGUUAGAAAACAAUUUUUUUUUAAAAAUAAAAUUCUAAAAUUAAAAAGAUACGUUUCUAGAGACAAUACAUUCUAUAUUCUACCAUCUUCGACUCAAAUUUUUUUCAAAGUUAGUCUUUAUAACAAAAAUUAGUAAAAACACCACCAAGACUGAGACAUUCCACAAAAGACUUUCCACAACUGUCAACUAUUCCUUCCCCCCAACCUGAAGGGGACAUUGUCCUCAAUGUCUAAAGAAAGGAGUAGAGUUUAGAAGAUAUCACCUGGCCACUACUGGAAAUAUUUACAAAUGGAGAGUUAAAUAUAAUUUAUGCUUUUUACGAGGUUUACUGUCAUCAUCAUCAGUUGCCCAAUCCAACGCUAACGUCAUGAGAUCUAGUUCUGGUUUGUAAGCUUGCAAAAUAUCAAGUAACUCGUUAGCAGUAAGAGCACAAAUAAAUAAUUUUUUCGCUGACGGUGGAAUGAAAUAAUUUUUAAUUGCAUAAUUAAGAAAUGUUAUUAAGCCAUCAUCAAAAUUAUUAACAUUUAACAAACCGAUGGGUUUUUUAUGGAUAUUCAAAUGGGUCCAAGAAGCAAAUGUAAUUAGCGCCUCUAAAGUUGCAAGAUCUCCUGGCAAAAAAAUGAAAGUGUCAACAUGAUUUAACAUUUCAGAUAUUCUUUCUUGCAUACCUAAGACAACUAACUCUUCUCCAGUUGGUGGGUCUGGUAGAUAUCCUAAAAGUUUUAAGGCUCUUGGAAUAAUGUCUAACACUUGGCUUCCUCAAACGAAAGCAGCUUCAGAGACAAGCUUUAAUAACCCUCGGUCACCUCCUCCAUAUACAAGAUGUAGUUGUCUCUCUGCUAUAGGACGACCAAGAUCUAUGGUUGCCUGAACGAACUCCUUAUAAUUUCCAUAGCGAAAAUUCAGAAAGCACACAAAUAUUCUUAAGUUGUUUACUUGAAGUUGCUGCCAUCAGAACAAUUCUAAAAAAGAAAUAAUUUGGGAAUGCUUGAAAAUGAGCUCCUAUUUAAAGAUCUUGGUGAUGGACAUGAUGAUACACAUCUGUAAAUGAGGUGGUGUGUUUGUCAAAUGACGCGUGAAGCUUUUGGCUCAAUAAUUCAAAGGUAAACAAUGAAAAGAAAAAGCAAACAAUGAUUAGAUAUAAAAUCACACACAAGAAAAAUAAAAAUAAUAAUAAUGCAAAAGAUAAAAUAACAAUAAAAUAAAAGGAUAUUUACUAGUAGUUGUGAUUGUGGCUCAUAUCUUCCUCUGGUUUUACGUCCAGUAACGGCUUGAACACCCUCUAUGGGUCGAGGAUAGGCUUCCCAUCCAGUUUUCUUAUAAACUGGCAAACAUGGUCUUUUAGAGUCAGAUUCCCAAGACUAAAUUGUACACUUUCCUUUUGGAACAGCUUCCAUAAAUUAUGAAUUUCACGUUAAACAUAUCCGCUCGGAUGCAUCUCAAGAGAUCGUAAGAUAUCAUCCAACGAUUCUUUACUCAUGCCAUCCCUAACGAAUUUGAUUUUAUCUUCACGAUUUACAGAAACCAUUCCUAAAGUUUUACAACGUGGUUUAUUGCAAGCAAGUCUUACAUAGUGAGGACAUUUAGAGCCAAGUCGCUUAGCUCUUUUUUUCUUAGCAAAUGUACUUUUACCAAAACUAGGCAUGUAGGAAACAAGUGGAUAAAAAAAACUCACCUGCCAGUCAGACCUUUGCUUCAAUUAACCAGCGAAUAUCAGUAAGAAUCUCAUUAAUAAUUAACAAACGCAGUCAUUUACAAGGAGCUUUAUAAAUCUUCUUAAGAGCAUUUUGAGGCAAAGAAGGAAAACUUUGAUGCAAUUUAUGUUGUAUUUCUUCUAUGCUUGACUUUGAGGGUUCAGUUAUUGUGGGACACUGAGAAUACCGACUUAAAACGUCAUAGAGUACUGUUACCAGCCAUUUAUACAGGAGAGUGAAUCAAAACAAAACGAAUCAAAUCUGCAAAAUCAAAUCAAAAGUGAAAAAGAACAACAAAAUAAAACACACAAGAAAUAUAACUCACCUUCGUCCUUUUAUUGAAUUUAUCUCCAGUUCCAAUUGCAGAUCAUAAAUACCAUACCAUCCUCUAUUUCUUUGAGUUGUCUUUCUAUAUCUUUAAUGUGGGAUACUAACUCUGAUAGUUGUAGAUCCCAAAUAAGAUAUGAUUUACAAAAUCGGAGCAAUUUCCUCAUGUGAAAUUUUACAUGCAAAAGUUCUCUAAGAUGUUUGAAAAUGAUACUUCUCAUGGAGGUACUCGUGACAAGAAUAAAAAAAUUUGGUGAGCUAAAACACAAUUGUCAAACAACACAAUUAAAAACAAUGUAAUGCACUCCAUUCAAGACAUAUGGAAAAGAAAAAAAAUUCAAACAAUUCAAAUGAUGAAGUAACAAUAAAACAAGUUCACAAAAAGUUAAAAAAAAAAUAUGCUUAAUCAAGAUUUGGUGGGUCCCUCAAAUUGAUUUCAGUGUCUGCUUCACGUGGUUGGUAUUUCAGAUAUGGUUUCAAUUUUUUACCAUUAACUUUAAAUGUGACACCAUCCUUUGAAUUCUCAAUUUCUACGACUCCAUAUGGAUAUACAUAUUUUACAACAAAUGGACCAUUCCACUUUGACUUUAACUUCUUUGGAAACAAAUGAAGACGAGAAUUAUAAAGCAAUACUUUUUGACCAAUUUCAAAUGUUUUUCGAAAAAUUCUUGUGUCAUGAAAAAAUUUGGUUCUUGCCUUAAUAAUUCUAGAAUUCUCAUAUGCAUCAUUCCUUAAUUCCUCAAGUUCAUUCAAUUGCAAUUUACGCACAUUACUAGCAUCACCAAGAUUUGAAUUAAAAGCUUUAAUGACCCAAAAUGAUUUAUGUUCAAGUUCAACCGGUAAGUGGCAAGAUUUUCCAUAAACAACCCGAUAGGGUGACAUUCCUAAAGAUGUUUUAAAAGCAGUACGAUAUGCCCAAAAUGCAUCAGUUAGUCGAAGAGAGCAAUCUUUACGGUUUGGAUUAACUGUCUUUUUUAAAAUUUAUUUUAUCUCCUUAUUUGCUAAUUAAAUUUGACCACUUGUUUGAGGGUGAUAAGGGGUAGCAACUUUAUGUGUAAUUCCAUAUUUCUUCAUUAAGGACUCAAAUAGCCAAUUACAAAAAUGCUUAACUCCAUCAUUGGUAAUGGCCCGAGGUGUUCCAAAUCUGCUCAAAAGAUUUUCUUUUAAAAAGCAUAUCAUAAUCUUGUGAUCAUUGUGCCAACAAGGAAUCACUUCGAUCCAUUUUGAAACAUAAUCAACAGCAAUUAAAAUGUAUACAAAUCCAAAUGAUGAUGGAAAAGAGCCCAUAAAAUCAAUUCCCCAACAAUCAAAUAUUUCAAUGACAAGAAUGUGGUUUAAAGGCAUCAUGUUUCGCUUUGAAAUAGACCCUAUCAUUUGAUAAUUCUUAUACACUUUGCAGAAUACAUGUGAAUCUUUAAAUAAUGUAGGCUAAUAAAAUUCACACUGUAAUAUUUUACAGCUAUCUUUUUUGAAGAAAAAUGGCCACCGUAUGCUUCAAAAUAACAAAAUUGAAUGACCCUACUUACCUCGUCGUCCGGUAUGCAUCUUCAAAAAAUUUGAGCAGAGCAGUACCUGAACAGGUAUGGAUCAUCCCAGUAAAAACUUUUCACUUCUGUUAAGAAUUUCUUCUUCUCUUGGGAACUCUAGUCACAUUGCAUUUCACCUAUUGCAAGAUAAUUAACAAUAUUAGCAUACCAAGGCAUUUUGUUUAUAGAAAAUAAAAAUUCAUUAGGAAAGAAUCAUUGAUGGGUGUUGUUUCAAUUGAAAACUUAUUUGUAAGUCUUGAAAGAUAAUUUGCAACAACAUUUUCGGCGCCUUUUUUAUCCUUGAUUGUCAAGUUAAAUUCUUGAAGUAGCAAAAUCUAUCGUAUCAACCUUGGUUUGGCAUCCUGUUUCGACAUUAAAUAUCUCACAGCAGUAUGAUAAGAAUAAACAAUAGUAGAUGAACCAAUUAAAUACGAACGGAAUUUAUCCAAUACAAAUAUUACAGCAAGUAGUUCUUUCUCAGUUGUAGUGUAAUUCAUUUGAGCACUAUUCAAAGUUCUACUUGCAUAAUAUAUGACAAAGGGUUUACCUUCCUUUCUUUGUCCCAGAACAACACCAACGGCAUAAUCACUAGCAUCACACAUUAGCUCAAAAGACAAAGACCAAUCAGGGGGUUGCAUUAUUGGGGCUGAUGUCAAAAGAGUAGUUAUUUUUUCAAAAGCUUGUUGACAAUCUUUUGUCCAUUCAAAAGGUGUGUCUUUUAUUAGGAGGUUACAAAGUGGUCUAAAUAUGGCACUAAAGUCUUUUAUAAACCUCCUAUAAAAUCAUGCAUGUCGUAAAAAGGAAUGGACUUCUCUAAUUGUCUUUGGUGAGAGUAAUUUUGAAAUGACUUCAACUUUGACUUUGUCAACUUCAAUUUUUUUUGAAGACACAACAUGGCCCAAGACAAUUUCAGAAGUGGUUAUAAAAUGACAUUUUUCCCAAUUUGAAACUAGUCCUUUUUCUUUGCACCUUUUCAAAACACUUUCUAAAUUAUCAAGACAUGUAUCAAAAGAAUUACCAAAUACAGUUAAAUCAUCCAUAAAAACCUCUAGACAAUUUUCAACCAUAUCACUAAAAAUGCCUAGUAGGAACCUUUGAAAUGUUGCAGGAGCAUUACAAAAUCCAAAAGGCAUUCUCUUAAAUGCAAAUGUUCCAAAUGGGCAUGUAAAUGUGGUUUAUCCUGGUCUUCUAAGGCUAUAGAGUUUGAUAAUAGCCAGAGUAGCCAUCAGAAAGUAGUAGUAGGGAUGUCCAGCUACUCUUUCGAGAAUUUGGUCUAGAAAUAGAAGGGAAAAAUUAUCUUUUCUAGUGGCAUCAUUCAAUUUUUUGUAAUCAAUGCACAUGCACCAACUAGAUGGAAUUCGUGUUGGGAUUGGCUCACCUUUUUCAUUUUUUACAACAAUUAUUCCAGAUUUGUUUGGUACUACUUGUGUUGGACUUACCCAUUUACUAUCAGAGAUAAGAUAGAUAAUUCCUACAUUUAGUAGUUUAAGGACCUCAUUCUUUACCACUUCUUUCAUAUAAGGGUUUAGUCUUCUUUGUGGUUGACGGUUUGUUUUGGCAUUUUCCUCUUAUUGUAUUUGGUGUGAGCAGAUUAAAGGAUUAAUGUCUUUUAUGUCUUUUAAGAUCCAACCAAAAGCAAUUUUAUGCUUUUUUAGUACAGACAGCAACUUAUCUUUUUUAGCACGCAUGAGUUGGGAAGAAAUUACUACCGAAUAUGUCUGCUGCUCUCCAAGAUAAGCAUACUUUAAUUCUUCCUAUAAGGGUUUUAAUUUGAGCUCUGGUGCUUCCUUUUCAUUUAAUUCUUCAGGUUGUGUCGUAUCUUCAAAGUUCGAUUGCUCAUAAUCACUUGUAGGUACCUGCAUAGAAUCAAGUGUAGGGUAUGUGUUAGCAAUAUCACAGUCUAAUUCCUUACUUGAUUCAAAAGAACCAGCAAAAUAAAUUUCCACAGGUUUUAUAGAAUUCUCAUCCUGAAUGUGUUCCUUAACGAUUGGCUCGAUGAGAUCAAUCUCCUCAUUCUCAUUAUCAUUAUCUUCCUGGUGGUGAGGUUGUUUACACAUAUUGAACACAUUGAGUUCCAAUGUCAUGUUGCCAAAAGAUAAUUUCAUUAAUCCAUUCUUGCAAUUAAUCAAAGCAUUAGAUGUAGCUAAAAAUGAUCGACCCAAUAUAACAGGAAUUUGUUUGCAUUCAUUAACAAUUGGUUUCGUUUCCAAAACAAUAAAAUCCACAGGGUAUAUGAAUUUAUUGACUCGGACUAAUAAAUCUUCAAUUAUUCUUUUUGGAACCUUAAUCGAUCUAUCAGUAAGUAAAAGAGUGGUAGAAAUUGGUUUUAACUCACCGAGAUUGAAUUAUUGGUACGCUGAGUAAGGAAGCAAAUUAACACUAGCACCAAGAUCAACUAAAGCAUGUCACAAUUUUAUGAUCCCUAAUAAUGCAAGAAAUAGUUAGACAACCAGGAUCCUUGUAUUUCAAAGCACUAUUGGUUGAGAGAAUGGAACUUACCUGUUCUAUUAAAAAAGCUUUCUUUUACACCUUAUGUUUUCUUUUCACCAUGCAUAGAUCUUUCAGAAAUUUAGCAUAAGAAGGUAUUUGUAUAAUGGCAUCCAGCAAAGGAAUGUUGACCUUUACUUGUUUAAAAAUUUCAUAAAUUUCUGGAUUGUGGUUUGAUUUCUUUGGCUUGAUUAGUGCUUGAGGAAAUGGGGGUACAGGAGGAGAGUUGGUUAUUUUUUAAUGGUUUAAAGGUUUGACAAACUUUUCCCUAUUCUCUAAAAUUGAAUCUUUACUAGUUUCACGAGGUCUGGAUAUGUUUUUUUGACAACUUUACCACCACGAACGGUUAUAAUCGAUUUAACUUGACUCAUGUUUUGGUUUCCUGAAUUUCCCAUUUGAGGAUGUUGUUAACUCUUGGGGUUUGGUUCAGGUUGAGCAGAAAACUUUCCUUUUUCAUGCACGGUCAUAGUAGAUGUGGGGUGGGAAGAAUUUUUUCAAAAAUUGUACUUCCAUUUCAUCCCAAGUUCUGAUAGAUUUUGACCUAAGAUUUUGUAGCCAAGUUUUAGCUUUAGCCUUUAGUGAAAAAGGAAAAACGCUAAGCCUGAUUAUAUUUUCCAGCUCCUAUGUCAGCCAUAUCUAAGGGUGGUGAAGAUGAUCUCCUAAUUAAUCUACCACUAUUUGUACGUGACCAACGACGCAUGCAUUGAUAAUGAUGUGUGCUAAACCAAUGAUGCAUAAAACGCUAAAUGAAAAUUAAAUAAGCAAAAAUGCGAAAUAAAAAUAAACAAACUGAAAAUAAAUAACAUAAUAAAGGAAAUUUAUCUACUGACCACUUUAAGUGGAAUUCAACCUAAAAAAAAAAUUGUGUAUUUUUGAAAAAGUCUCAAAAAAAGGUAGUCGGUGGAUAAUUUCUCAAAAAUAAAUUAGGCGGUGAAACCAGCCAUAAAAAUAAAGUAAUUAAAAGAAAUAAUUAACAAAAUAUUAGGCGGUAUUUUAGAACUAGUCAUAUAACAAAAUAUAAAAUAAAAUAAAUUAAUGUACAAGAAUAAAUAAACGAAAAUUAAAAUGUUAGGCGGUAAAACUGACCAUCUAAACAAAAAUAAAUAAAUUAACAAAAUUUAAAUAACAAUCAGGCGGUUGAACCGACCAUUUAAAAUAAAUGCAAAAAGUAAAUUGUAGAAAUUUAAAGAAAAAAUCGGUUUGAGGACUGAUUUGUAAAAGUUUUUGGGCUUAAAUGAAGUUUCUCACAAAUUCUGUGACAAUUCUAUGAUUAUGAGAGAGAGAAAGGAGCUGACUGAAAAUUUACGAAAUGAAUUAUUAGAACCAAACAAAGAAAUGAUGUAAGGGAAAAUACAUAACGUAAACAAUAAUUGACAAAAUAAAAAAAUAAAAUGACACUAAAUUUAAGAAAUUCUCCGGCAACGGCACUAAAAAUUUAGCACGACUCAAAAGUAUAUUACUUUUAAGUAUAAGAGUGUCUAGUUAUAAUAUAACCCGGUGAGUCCGGGGUUGAACAACAGGGAAUUUAAAAUCUAGUAGUGAAUUUAAAACAAAGAAAAUUAAUUGUGCGAAAAAGAAAUUAUUUGGAAUCAAUUUAUAAUAUGCUAAGGUUAUGAGAUCUACUCUCAGUAUUCACCUAUAAUUUUAUUACUCUCUCAUUUUUAUCAGUUAAUUAUUAUAUUAUUUAAUUCUUAACUAACUAUGUGUGUGGAUAAAUAUGGAAUAAAGUACAUAAUGUGCCACAACUAUAUUAUUGUGUCGAUAUUAUAUCAAAAUACCACACAGAUUCAAGAGAAUCUAUAAAUUAAUAUGACAUAAAAAUAAUUAGAAAAUAAUAAAAUAAACUUAAAAACUCAUUUGAGAAAAUAAUAAAUUUAAUAGUUUGAAACAUUGAGCUCCACCUUUCACCUCAACUUAGUAAAAUUAGCCACUCAUAUUGAAAGAAAACAAAACACUCUUUUUAUUUGAUAAACUUUUGAAAUAUGUUAUAAGGAAAAUUGAUACAGAAGGAAAUAAGAAAAGAAAAUAAAGAAAGAUAGAAAUUCUUCAGUUCCCUCUUGGCUACAACUCUCUCUCUUGUCUUUGGUACUUCGCUCCCUUGCAUCCCCUUGCCUUUUAUAGGCAAGGGAUGCAUAUUCUUUUCUUUUCUUUU
Molecule: long non-coding RNA, 21957 nt
Filed under: Citrus x clementina
Lineage: Eukaryota; Viridiplantae; Streptophyta; Magnoliopsida; Sapindales; Rutaceae
Description: Citrus clementina (C. clementina) long non-coding RNA (CCLE_LNC000314)
Source: RNAcentral